AGUGAACGCUGGCGGUAGGCCUAACACAUGCAAGUCGAACGGCAGCACAUUAAUAGCUUUCUCUUACGGGUGGCGAGUGGCGGACGGGUGAGGAAUACAUCGGAAUCUACUUUUUCGUGGUGUAUAACUUAGGGAAACUUACGCUAUUACCUCCUCCGACCUACUGGUGAAAGCAGGGUAUCUUCGUACCUUGCUCUAUUUAAUUAGCCGAUGUCGGAUUAGCUAGUGGGCGGGGGAAAGGCCCACCAAGGCGACGAUCCGUAUCUGGUCUGAGAGGAUGAGCAGCCACACUGGAAUGGAGACAGGGUCCAGACUCAUACGGGAGGCAGAAGUGGGGAAUAUGGGAAAAAGGGAGCAAGCGUGAUCCAGACAUACCGCGUGGGUGAAGAAGGCCUUCGGGUUGGAAAGCCCUUUUGUUGGGAAAGAAAAGCAGCAGGUUAAUACCCCGCUGUUCUGACGGUAGCAAAAGAAUAAGCACCGGCUAACUUCGUG
Molecule: ribosomal RNA, 492 nt
Filed under: uncultured bacterium
Lineage: Bacteria
Description: partial 16S ribosomal RNA
Rfam family: Bacterial small subunit ribosomal RNA
Source: RNAcentral